This 252-nucleotide ribosomal RNA is filed under the name uncultured bacterium. Its description in RNAcentral is "partial 16S ribosomal RNA". It matches the Rfam family "Bacterial small subunit ribosomal RNA", at positions 524 to 776 of the family's 1533-position model. The record is from RNAcentral.
UACGAACUGUGCAAACGUUAUUCGGAAUCACUGGGCUUAAAGGGUGCGUAGGCGGCUUAUCAAGUAGGGUGUGAAAGCCCCCGCUUAACCGGGGAAUUGCGCCCUAAACUGACGAGCUGGAGUGGGACAGGGGUGUGUGGAACUUCCGGUGGAGCGGUGAAAUGUGUUGAUAUCGGAAGGAACGCCGGUGGCGAAAGCGACACACUGGGUCUCAACUGACGCUGAGGCACGAAAGCCAGGGGAGCGAACGGG